RNAcentral lists this small nucleolar RNA (118 nucleotides) under Neotoma lepida (desert woodrat). RNAcentral's name for it is "Small nucleolar RNA SNORA70". It matches the Rfam family "Small nucleolar RNA SNORA70". Rfam says of the family: snoRNA U70 seems to be exclusive to mammals and is a member of the H/ACA class of snoRNA which contain H (ANANNA) and ACA box motifs. Lineage: Eukaryota; Metazoa; Chordata; Mammalia; Rodentia; Cricetidae. The record is from Rfam by way of RNAcentral.
UUAAACAUUUUUGGAAAAACUAUCAGCCUUGUGUGUAGUGGCCGCAAAUGGCAGCCUUCUUGGGAAUGCAUGAGCCUGUUGCCUAUAUAUGUUGCUCUAAGAAGCCUUGGAGACAAUU